GGGACAAACGCUGGCGGCGUGCCUAAGACAUGCAAGUCGGACGGGAGGCUUCGGCCUCUAGUGGCGGACGGGUGAGGAACGCGUGGAGAACCUGCCCCGGGGUGGGGGAUACCCGCCAGAAAUGGCGGUUAAGACCGCAUACGAAGGCACCGUGCAGGCGGUGUCGGGAAAGCAGCGAUGUGCCCUGGGAGGGCUCCGCGUCGGAUUAGCUAGUUGGUGGGGUAACGGCCUACCAAGGCUUCGAUCCGUAGCUGGUCUGAGAGGACGGCCAGCCACACUGGGACUGAGACACGGCCCAGACUCCUACGGGAGGCAGCAGUUAGGGAAUUUUGACAAUGGGCGCAAGCCUGAUCGAGUGACGCCGCGUGCGGGAUGACGCCUUUCGGGGUGUAAACCGCUUUUCCCAGGGACGAGGAGGGACGGUACCGUGGGGAAGAAGUCGUCGGCUAACGUACGUGCCAGCAGCCGC
RNAcentral lists this ribosomal RNA (469 nucleotides) under uncultured bacterium. Its description in RNAcentral is "SSU rRNA". It matches the Rfam family "Bacterial small subunit ribosomal RNA", at positions 27 to 518 of the family's 1533-position model. The record is from RNAcentral.